Molecule: ribosomal RNA, 305 nt
Filed under: uncultured bacterium
Lineage: Bacteria
Description: partial 16S ribosomal RNA
Rfam family: Bacterial small subunit ribosomal RNA
Source: RNAcentral
ACAGCAGCCGCCGCGGUAAUACGAAGGGUGCAAGCGUUAAUCGGAAUUACUGGGCGUAAAGCGUGCGUAGGCGGCUUGUUAAGUCUGCUGUGAAAUCCCCGGGCUCAACCUGGGAACUGCAUCCAAAACUGGCAGGCUAGAGUAGGGCAGAGGGUGGUGGAAUUUCCUGUGUAGCGGUGAAAUGCGUAGAUAUAGGAAGGAACACCAGUGGCGAAGGCGACCACCUGGGCUCAUACUGACACUGAGGUGCGAAAGCGUGGGGAGCAAACAGGAUUAGAUACCCCCGUAGUCCCUGUCUCUUAUAC